This 439-nucleotide ribosomal RNA is filed under the name uncultured bacterium. Its description in RNAcentral is "partial 16S ribosomal RNA". It matches the Rfam family "Bacterial small subunit ribosomal RNA", at positions 339 to 795 of the family's 1533-position model. The record is from RNAcentral.
CUACGGGGGGCUGCAGUGAGGAAUAUUGCACAAUGGGGGAAACCCUGAUGCAGCAACGCCGCGUGGAGGAUGACGCAUUUCGGUGUGUAAACUCCUUUUAUGAGUCAAGAAAAUGACGGUAGCUCAUGAAUAAGCACCGGCUAACUCCGUGCCAGCAGCCGCGGUAAUACGGAGGGUGCAAGCGUUACUCGGAAUCACUGGGCGUAAAGGACGCGUAGGCGGGUUGUCAAGUCAGGUGUGAAAUCCUACAGCUUAACUGUAGAACUGCACUUGAAACUGGCAACCUAGAGUAUGGGAGGGGGAGAUGGAAUUAGUGGUGUAGGGGUAAAAUCCGUAGAUAUCACUAGGAAUACCGAAAGCGAAGGCGAUCUCCUGGAACAUUACUGACGCUAAGGCGUGAAAGCGUGGGGAGCAAACAGGAUUAGAUACCCGUGUAGUC